GGCUCGGGAGCGCCCGGUGGGACGGGCGCAGGAAUGGAGCCCGCCCCCUUCAUUCGUGAGCGGCGCACCGCCGGGGCCCGACGGCCGGUGCA
RNAcentral lists this non-coding RNA (92 nucleotides) under unclassified sequences. RNAcentral's name for it is "Rhodo-rpoB RNA". It matches the Rfam family "Rhodo-rpoB RNA". The record is from RNAcentral.